This 95-nucleotide signal recognition particle RNA is filed under the name Paracoccus denitrificans. RNAcentral describes it as "Bacterial small signal recognition particle RNA". It matches the Rfam family "Bacterial small signal recognition particle RNA". Rfam says of the family: The signal recognition particle (SRP) is a universally conserved ribonucleoprotein involved in the co-translational targeting of proteins to membranes. Archaeal SRP consists of a 7S RNA and homologues of the eukaryotic SRP19 and SRP54 proteins. In most bacteria, the SRP consists of a 4.5S RNA and the Ffh protein (a homologue of the eukaryotic SRP54 protein). RNAcentral also lists the same sequence under 1 other name. The record is from RNAcentral. Lineage: Bacteria; Pseudomonadati; Pseudomonadota; Alphaproteobacteria; Rhodobacterales; Paracoccaceae.
AGAGGUUGGCGCGGGCAGGCGCCUCGCCAACCCGGUCAGGUCCGGAAGGAAGCAGCCGUAACGAGUCCCGCUUGGGUCGCUGUCCAGCCUCUCAC